UAGCAAUUUUAUAAACAAGUAAUAGAUAUUUUAAUUCUUUUAUAGUAAGGAUUCGAAAGCAUAAAAGCCUUUGUCAAUUCUUUCAGCGUACUCAAGAGGCAAGAAUAAUUAUUUUAGUCUGCCCUUGCCCUUGAAAAACGAAAGACAAAGAAGAAUAGAGGAAAUAAAAGUAUUUUUAUUUAUACAGUGAUGAAUUUCCGUUCGUUAAAAUAUACUCAAAUCUGGAAGACAAAUCAAACUUGUGUCUAUGCUUGUGUAUGAAAUUUCAAGACGAAAUUCGAGAUGUGAUUGCAACAUAAUCGAAUCUAUGUCUAAUUCUAACGACGAGCAACGCAGACGUGCUGGGUACGUCGAACCAUUCACAAAACAGAGUGAAAUGGGACGAGCUGAUGGCAGAGCUCCAUGCGGGAUAGUGACUUGUUAGCCAUGAACGAAUUGUGAGUCAUCAUCGUUGUGUAAGCAGUAAAAGUUAUCAACGCCACAUGCGGAUCUGCAAGAUAAAGAUGAAUAACGAAAUAAAUGGUUUGAAUCCAGAAGUGGAAUUGUAUGUUUGUAAAAGUUGUUCCUCCACGUUAGAGCAAUCCUAAAAAGACUAUUGGGUUUUCAUUGACUGACAUUACAAAACCCACAACAGCAAUCAUCCUAUGUGAAGAGUGAACAUCAGAUACGUUAUUUUGAACAUUACCGGUAAGAAUGCAAAAAAUAAAUCAGUUAACAAUAAUACAAACAGUCCUUUUCAGGGAUGGAAAUGUUUACGAUUAGCAGGCUAGCAUGAUCAACGCCAAGGAUGAAAAUAUUUAUGGCUGCUGGAUGGGAUGAUGAAGGGCUGGGAUGGGAAAAUGUCUUCAAUGUAAGUGUGAUGAGCCAAAAAGCCUUGGGAUACGAGGGGCUGUAGCGGAAGGCACCGAGCAGAGCUAUUGGUCUACCGGGAGGAGAAUGCUGAAAUCUGGCAUUAGAAAGUCUUUUCAACUGAGCGCUAAUCGUGAAAUAACAUGCAGGCACUUUUUCUGACAAUUUUUUUUAAUUAACGAAGAAUUUGAUCUGGACACAGACUUACUCUUCGACAUUUAAUUCUUAUUCUUCAUUCAUACUAACACUUAUUGAACACACCUUAUAAGGACGCAAGCAUGAAUACAGCAUGAUUCUCGGAUUUCUUUUACUGCAUAAGAUCAUAUCUGCAAAAUAAAGAUAAACAAUGAAGUGAAUGGUUUGAACCCAGGAGUGGCAUUAAAUUUUUAUACAUAAUAAUUAUCCAAGUCAGAGCAGUCCUAAAACACUUUUUGGGUUUUCCUUGACUGACAAUCCAAAAUCGAUAUCGGCAAUCAUUUCAUGUAGAGUAACAUCAGAUUCCACAUGUUAGACCUUAUACUGGUAAGAGAUCAAGGCCAAGAUUGGAAAUAUCUAUUUGCAGCAGAUUUGGCUGACGUAAGAACUGCAAUGAAAAUUUUAUGAUCAAUAGGUCAAGUAUGGAACAGUUACAGCAAUUAAGAAUAAAAGUAAGGAAUACAUGUGAUGCUUUCGCUUCAUGGUAACCGCGAGACAAUAUUUAAAACUUGCUCAAUUUGUUCAAGCAAUCGAUCUCGUCAAUUAAAAACAACUAGAUGAUAAGAGAAAUACAUCAAGUGAAGAUGUAUUUCCUAGAUUUACA
Long non-coding RNA from Xenia sp. Carnegie-2017, 1648 nucleotides. RefSeq lists it as uncharacterized. NCBI's taxonomy places the organism in Eukaryota, Metazoa, Cnidaria, Anthozoa, Malacalcyonacea, Xeniidae. The record is from RefSeq and is a predicted model, not a curated record. The transcript is spliced from 4 exons.